UCCCCAGUGACUCAGUGGUAAAGAAUCUGCCUGCCAAGCAGGAGAUGCAGGUUCAAUGCCUGGGUCGGGAA
RNAcentral lists this transfer RNA (71 nucleotides) under Bos taurus (domestic cattle). It matches the Rfam family "tRNA". From Rfam's summary of the family: Transfer RNA (tRNA) molecules are approximately 80 nucleotides in length. The record is from Rfam by way of RNAcentral. RNAcentral also lists the same sequence under 5 other names. Lineage: Eukaryota; Metazoa; Chordata; Mammalia; Artiodactyla; Bovidae.